UCCAGACUCCUACGGGAGGCAGCAGUGGGGAAUAUUGCGCAAUGGGCGAAAGCCUGACGCAGCGACGCCGCGUGAGGGAUGAAGUAUUUCGGUAUGUAAAGCUCUAUCAGCAGGGAAGAAAAUGACGGUACCUGACUAAGAAGCCCCGGCUAACUAUGUGCCAGCAGCCGCGGUAAUACGUAGGGGGCAAGCGUUAUCCGGAUUUACUGGGUGUAAAGGGAGCGUAGACGGUCCUGCAAGCCAGAUGUGAAAGCCCGGGGCUCAACCCCGGGACUGCAUUUGGAACUGUAAGGCUAGAGUGUCGGAGAGGCAGGCGGAAUUCCUAGUGUAGCGGUGAAAUGCGUAGAUAUUAGGAGGAACACCAGUGGCGAAGGCGGCCUGCUGGACGAUGACUGACGUUGAGGCUCGAAAGCGUGGGGAGCAAACAGGAUUAGAUACCCCUGUA
This 445-nucleotide ribosomal RNA is filed under the name uncultured bacterium. RNAcentral describes it as "bacterial SSU rRNA". It matches the Rfam family "Bacterial small subunit ribosomal RNA", at positions 330 to 792 of the family's 1533-position model. The record is from RNAcentral.